RNAcentral lists this ribosomal RNA (37 nucleotides) under Eucalyptus rosacea. Its description in RNAcentral is "partial 18S ribosomal RNA". The record is from RNAcentral. Lineage: Eukaryota; Viridiplantae; Streptophyta; Magnoliopsida; Myrtales; Myrtaceae.
CAAGGUUUCGGUAGGUGAACCUGCGGAAGGAUCAUUG